Molecule: transfer RNA, 90 nt
Filed under: Brevinema andersonii
Lineage: Bacteria; Pseudomonadati; Spirochaetota; Spirochaetia; Brevinematales; Brevinemataceae
Rfam family: tRNA
About the family: Transfer RNA (tRNA) molecules are approximately 80 nucleotides in length. Their secondary structure includes four short double-helical elements and three loops (D, anti-codon, and T loops). Further hydrogen bonds mediate the characteristic L-shaped molecular structure. tRNAs have two regions of fundamental functional importance: the anti-codon, which is responsible for specific mRNA codon recognition, and the 3' end, to which the tRNAs corresponding amino acid is attached (by aminoacyl-tRNA synthetases). tRNAs cope with the degeneracy of the genetic code in two manners: having more than one tRNA (with a specific anti-codon) for a particular amino acid; and 'wobble' base-pairing, i.e. permitting non-standard base-pairing at the 3rd anti-codon position.
Source: Rfam by way of RNAcentral
GGAGAGGUGGCUGAGUGGUCGAAAGCGGCUUCCUGCUAAGAAGUUGUCCUGGAUAUUACGGGAUCAUGGGUUCGAAUCCCAUCCUCUCCG